RNAcentral lists this non-coding RNA (46 nucleotides) under Schistosoma curassoni. Lineage: Eukaryota; Metazoa; Platyhelminthes; Trematoda; Strigeidida; Schistosomatidae. The record is from RNAcentral.
GCAUUGCUGAGGAGUUCCAUAUUAGGACGAAACGACCGUCCAAUGC